Molecule: ribosomal RNA, 1119 nt
Filed under: uncultured Oxalobacteraceae bacterium
Lineage: Bacteria; Pseudomonadati; Pseudomonadota; Betaproteobacteria; Burkholderiales; Oxalobacteraceae
Description: bacterial SSU rRNA
Rfam family: Bacterial small subunit ribosomal RNA
Source: RNAcentral
GGAGAAAGCAGGGGAUCGCAAGACCUUGCGCUUUUGGAGCGGCCGAUGCCUGAUUAGCUAGUUGGUGAGGUAAAGGCUCACCAAGGCUCCGAUCAGUAGCUGGUCUGAGAGGACGACCAGCCACACUGGGACUGAGACACGGCCCAGACUCCUACGGGAGGCAGCAGUGGGGAAUUUUGGACAAUGGGCGAAAGCCUGAUCCAGCAAUGCCGCGUGAGUGAAGAAGGCCUUCGGGUUGUAAAGCUCUUUUGUCAGGGAAGAAACGGUGCGGGCUAAUAUCCCGCACUAAUGACGGUACCUGAAGAAUAAGCACCGGCUAACUACGUGCCAGCAGCCGCGGUAAUACGUAGGGUGCAAGCGUUAAUCGGAAUUACUGGGCGUAAAGCGUGCGCAGGCGGUUUUGUAAGUUUGUCGUGAAAGCCCCGGGCUCAACCUGGGAAUUGCGAUGAAGACUGCAAGGCUUGAAUCUGGCAGAGGGGGGUAGAAUUCCACGUGUAGCAGUGAAAUGCGUAGAGAUGUGGAGGAACACCGAUGGCGAAGGCAGCCCCCUGGGUCAAGAUUGACGCUCAUGCACGAAAGCGUGGGGAGCAAACAGGAUUAGAUACCCUGGUAGUCCACGCCCUAAACGAUGUCUACUAGUUGUCGGGUUUUAAUUAACUUGGUAACGCAGCUAACGCGUGAAGUAGACCGCCUGGGGAGUACGGUCGCAAGAUUAAAACUCAAAGGAAUUGACGGGGACCCGCACAAGCGGUGGAUGAUGUGGAUUAAUUCGAUGCAACGCGAAAAACCUUACCUACCCUUGACAUGGACGGAAGCCACGAGAGAUCGAGGUGUGCUCGAAAGAGAACCGUCACACAGGUGCUGCAUGGCUGUCGUCAGCUCGUGUCGUGAGGUGUUGGGUUAAGUCCCGCAACGAGCGCAACCCUUGUCAUUAGUUGCUACGAAAGAGCACUCUAAUGAGACUGCCGGUGACAAACCGGAGGAAGGUGGGGAUGACGUCAAGUCCUCAUGGCCCUUAUGGGUAGGGCUUCACACGUAAUACAAUGGCGCGUACAGAGGGUUGCCAACCCGCGAGGGGGAGCUAAUCUCAGAAAGCGCGUCGUAGUCCGGAUCGGAGUC